This 301-nucleotide ribosomal RNA is filed under the name uncultured bacterium. RNAcentral's name for it is "partial 16S ribosomal RNA". It matches the Rfam family "Bacterial small subunit ribosomal RNA", at positions 509 to 807 of the family's 1533-position model. The record is from RNAcentral.
CAGCCGCCACGGUAAUACGUAGGGUGCAAGCGUUAAUCGGAAUUACUGGGCGUAAAGCGUGCGCAGGCGGUUAUAUAAGACAGAUGUGAAAUCCCCGGGCUCAACCUGGGAACUGCAUUUGUGACUGUAUAGCUAGAGUACGGCAGAGGGGGAUGGAAUUCCGCGUGUAGCAGUGAAAUGCGUAGAUAUGCAGAGGAACACCGAUGGCGAAGGCAAUCCCCUGGGCCUGUACUGACGCUCAUGCACGAAAGCGUGGGGAGCAAACAGGAUUAGAUACCCGCGUAGUCCCUGUCUCUUAUAC